Molecule: long non-coding RNA, 446 nt
Filed under: Carica papaya (papaya)
Lineage: Eukaryota; Viridiplantae; Streptophyta; Magnoliopsida; Brassicales; Caricaceae
Description: long non-coding RNA (CPAP_LNC008729)
Source: RNAcentral
CACAUAAUUAAUGAUUUAAUUUAAAGUAAUAACCGAAUGUAAGGUGGAAGAAAAUUUACCGAAAUCGGUGUCAAAUUCAGGCUUUCUAUCCAAAAGAGUGCAAUUUCAGUCUCUCUCUCCGGUUUCCUAAUUUUUGGCCUUGCACGAAUCUUUGAACGGACCUGGAACAUUGCGCCAUGGUUUAUUUCAUGUGGAUCAAGUCCACCUAACAUGUGUUCUGCUUCUUCUUCCUCAAUAACGCGCAUCACGUGCCUGGUACAACGCGCCAAGUAUUGCGCAUCGCGCGUCGUGCGCUCAGCACCGCGCGCCGCACGCUUAGCAUCGCGCACCCUGCUUCCUUCCUCCUUCUCCUUCUCCUUCUCCUUCCUCUUUUUCUUCUUUCUCUUCUUAUUCUUCCUCUUCUUCUUCUUCUUCUUCUUCUUCUUCUUCUUCUUCUUCUUCUUCUU